CUAUGCCUGCUCUUUUGUGGAUGGAUUCGCUUGCCUAGGUCUUGAUCGUGCUUUUGAAUUUACUAUGAACUAUGAACUAAGAAUUUAGAGCGAGUCUUGUUUUGAGCAUCUCAUUCUGGUGCUCGGCUUGGAUUGAAGUGUGUAACAACCCUGAAGAAUAAAGGGUAGAAGUCGUAGUAGUAUUAAUAGUUAGAUGUAGAAGAUGAGUAAAGGUAGCAGCUUUACUAGCUAGAAGAAGAAUAAGUGACAGCAGGGGGUGGUGAGGAGUGAGCUCGGCGGAGCGAUCCGACGGUAAGGCGCUCGAGCGGAACUCCGGCGGGAAGGCGCCUUCGAAGGNACCUUUGGAUAUAGCAGAGAAUAGGAAGAUUUGUAAUGUGCCAUUUUGAUUUGGGAAAGAGAAAGAGCAUUGGAAUUGUAUGUUUAUGUUUAUUAACACAUAAGUGCUACAUGUGAAAUUGAGUAAGGCACGCCAUAAAUGUGACCUCUUUAUGAACAAGUAUGCCAAAUCGCGCUCAAUUAUAGCAUGUGUCGAAUUUGGGAAUUGCUUAAUCUGGCUCAUCCUGUCGCUCCUUUUUUGUUACUGUUUCCCCCACACCCUUUUUCCCCGUUUUGAAGAGCCAUUAAAUUGCUCUUUUAUUGGUGGCUCUAAUCUGAUGAUACGAAGGGCGAAAUAUUCGUAUCAAAUGUGUUAAUGAAGUGUGAACUUUCAGGGGGAAAUUUGUAAUGAAUCCUUUACACAAAUCUCCAUUCCUGUGUUAAUCAUGUUUGUUAUAGUUAAGGAUGCAGGGUCAGUAAAGCUUCUUGGGAUGUGAAAACUAUUAAAACACCUGUGGAACCUACCGCAAUUAGUCAUCUGGGGCCUACAUUCCAUUAUUUUGGCGAGUCUCGGAGACCCUUCUAUGUGCAUGCAUUGGGAUUCCAUAUUCAAUUUUCCUCGCCUACGCGGAAGCAGCAGAAGAAACAAAGAAGGGAAGGUUGUUUCCUGUCUCCUCACUCUCUUUUACCAUAUUAAUCUCCUCGUCAUACACUUUUCAAUGUCGUGGUGUGGGUCAACAAUUAUUGUGUUUACAUGAACAUGCCUUUCUCUGAGUUUCUCUGUUCGCACAUCAAGAGAGCUGCUUCUGAAUUGUUAUCUCUUUCUUCAUGUGUAACGACCCUGGAGAAUAAAUGGUAGAGGUAGCAGUAGCAGUAGUAAUAGUUAGCAUGGGAGAAUAGUAAAAAUAGCAACUUUACUAGUUAAAAUGGAGAAUAAAAGUGGCAGCAGCAGAAUGGUGAAGGAGCGAGCUCAGUGGGGUGAACCGGCGGCAAGGGCGUUCAGGCGGAACUCAGGCGGGCGACGAGGAAGGGUGGCGCUGCGGCCGCGGCAGCCUUCCCAGCGACUGUCUCCCUCAAGAAAGCGAAGGCGCCGGCCGCGCUCUGGAACCCGCCGCAGGCCUGCUUGAGCCUUGCGGCGAUGGUGCGAUCGGCGGCGUGGGCGAUCUGCGAGUAGACGGCGGCAGUGGGGGAAAUGGGAGGAACGCGAAGGGAGAAGGAGGUCCGACAGCAUCUACGGUUGGGGAAGAUGGAAGCCUUGCGGGUCGGAUGGGCAGAUUUCCGGAUCGGAGGCAAAACGCGAACCCAAGACCCGCCGGCAAUGGAUAGUGCGGAGAAGGCGAACCCGCAACCCGCUUGCCCGUUUACCAGACAACUUCGGACCGAACAAGCCCAGCGGAGGCCCAGCCUGCGAGUGAAUCGCGGCCCAGCCUGCUCUCACCCAGUUUACAUAUUGCUGUUUAGCCCUUAUAGGAUAGUUUACUUUAAUUUCAAUACCAGUUGUAGAGGAAUAUAUCUAACAGAAUGUCAUGAGAAGAUCAUAAAUGAAAAUGAAAUAGUCUAUUUCUCCCCCAAAGGUUCUUCUCCAAACCCUUCUUCUUCUCUAUCCCUUAUCUCUAUCCCAACUCUUUUCCCUAACCCUCACCUCUCAAUCCUCAUCUGUCUAUCUCUCUACCUCUAUUUCUCUUCUCUCUAUCUCAAUCCCAAUUUCUAUCUCUAUUUUCUUACCUCUCUAGCCUCGGUUACCGACUACGUUACCUCCGAUACGCGACCGGAAGGACCAAGAACCUGAUCCGAGCCAUAAGGGAUAUUACAAUUGGUAUCAGAGCGGCACUGUCCCAGGGCCGUGGGCGGCGGGAAUUCAACAGGAGCAAGAACGUUGGAGUUUCAGCAGCUGUGAGGAAUUACGUCGAACAAUGGAGGCGCAACAGGUAACAUCAUCCAAUUAGCAUAAUUAAGCAACAGAAGGCUCACACGAGGGUGUACGGAGGUAGUAGCAAGGACUAGUGCUGGUUCUAUUGCAAUUAGAACAGCACCAGGCCUCAGGCAAGCAUCUUUGGCACCUCGGCCGAAUUACUGUAGCAGGUGUUAAUUCCAGAUCAAACAAGAGUGAAGCAAUCAGUAGCGUCCAGGGGCAACAAUUGCAAAAAAGAGCGAAAACCGAUUCAAAUUCGAAACCAAGAGAAGUGAGAUCCCAGGGAUCGGUGCUGCGACAGUCGCGUGAUUCCGAUUCUUAGAAUUGUAGAGUCAAUUGCGACAUAGCUACCUGCGCUGCGAGAAUCGGCUUCGGCUGGAUCUCGACAAAAGGGGCCGCAGCGGAAUCACACUGAUUCUGAGUUUUACACAGUUCUAGCAGAGCUAAUUUCUGCUCAAUUGUGAAGCUCCCACCUGGUACCUGCGAAUAAUUCUCAAGCAGGUAGAUCCCACAUUGUAUAGCUUAGCAAAAUUGGGUCAACACGAGGCAACAGAUCUAAAUUCACUAGUAGCUUGUACAAGGCAAGAGAAGAAUUAGUUACUGUCCAGGGAUGGUAGGCAAAAUGGCUAUUGGAACAAAGUGGCAGCAACAAACUACUAGUUAUAACCAAAGCUUUGAAGGAACGUUGCAAAUUGCUAGGGAUUUCAAUCAGAAUUUAGAUAUUUUGGCGCAAAGGAUUGAAACCCUGCGGAAGGAAGAGGCAAGGAGGUACGAAAUUAUGAUGGAGGAGGAGGCCCGAAGGCAUGAACAACUCCUAGAGUUGAUUAGAAGCCGAUUUGUACAUGCUAAAGGGAAAGGGACAGUAGUGCAAGUUCCGAUAGAAAAGAAACAUCGGCAACAGUACAUGCCAUACAUGGAGAUAAGUUUCCCAGAUUUUAACGGAACAGAUCCAAAAGGAUGGUUACGAAAUUGCGAGCAGUAUUUUGACCGAUACCAAGUUCCUGAGCAACAAUGGAUAGGCAUAGCGUCCAUGCACAUAGAGGGUGAUGCACGGUUUUGGAAGCAAGCAUAUUUCUUUAACCGACCAGAGGUAAAUUGGGGCGAGUUUUCCGAUGCCAUUUGUAAAAGAUUUACAGCGACGAAAGAGAGGUACCCAACCCAAGAGUUUAGUACUUGCAAGCAAACCAAUUCUAUAGAGAGCUGCCAAAAGAAUUGUGAAGCCGCAAAGAGAUCUGAAACUAUGGUGCAGGAGGAUGAUCACAUACAUGAAGCUGGAAGUGCAGGAUCAGAGAAAGAGUGUGAUGAUUAUCUACAGUUGGAGAUCAAUAGAAAACCAGAGAUAGCAUGGAGCGAGCGUGCUAGCAAGCCAGAGGAGCUGCUGAAGCUGCUCGCAGCACAGCCACCUCUACUCAAGCCUGCUCACAAUGCCCCAAAUGCAUACACUACUUCAGCUGAAACUGAAAGUACCAUAAAAGCUGUUGCCAAUACGACUCACAAUUCCGAAGAGAGUCUUAAUCUUAAUCUUGAAGAAGGGCCUGCACCAAGUGAGCAAACAAAGAUGCAAGGGCUGUGCAAUGAAUACGGAGAGGAGUACAGCACGGGGAAGCAAUGCAAGAAUAGCUCCCUGCAUAUGUUAACGGCACAGAAAAAGGCUGAAAUGAGUGCUGGAUCCGAAGCAGCAAAAGAAGAAGGAUGGGAGCCACAACAAGUAGAAGAAGGAAAUGCUUACGACGCUGUAAGUAUCAAGGAGUCAAAUAACCAAGCCCUUCUAAGUUUGGUUGAUGAUAGAAGCAUACAUAGCCUUAUUCACUUCGGAACGGCAAAAGCUACCAAAGUGGGAUCUACUACUUUUGCACCCUUGAUAGUGAUAGCAGACCGGGAUCCCAAGAUGCUAAGCAAAGAUUCUUGUCCUCAGUUUGCAAGGAAGAAACCAGGUUACAAAUUCUUGGCUGAUUCAAGAGAAUUGAGACUCAAAAGUUCUGACAUAGCGCUUAGAAUCGAUUGGAUGAAGGAAUAUAGGCAAGUGCCUUUUGAUCCAGGACCUAACAAGGUGACAUUUCGCAGCAUUGAAGGAGAAGCCUCUCACAAAUUUAUCAUGACAAGUAAGUUACAAAAGGUAAUCCAUCAGAAAAUACGAGGUAUGCUGGGUCAAUCUGCUAUGAUUAGAAUUGGAGAAAUGGCGAAGGCGAUUACUACAGAAGGUUGCAAGAGAGUUAAUAGCAUAGGCUUAAUUGGUAUUGUUGAGGGCCUCAAUAAGCACAUCCAAAGAAGGCCAAUUGAAGCGUAUCAAGAGAGCAUUGAGAACUCAAGGAUCCAAACGCUACUUCGAAACUCUAGCCUGGAAGAAGCUUACAUUGCGUACAGCUUGGUGAAUGGGUGUAAGGAAUUAGGGUCUGUGCUUAAGAUGCCUCACCCAUGCUCGCGAUUUCUGGCCUAUGAACAAGACAAGCUGCAGGAAUCUGAUGUAAGUGAUUGCAACUUCCAUAAUGCUAACUAUGUUCAUAGUGUGAUGGUUAUAGGCAACAGCUUUCUAAGCCUGGUCGAAGGUCAAGUUCACCCUGAAAAUGGAGAAGAUCAGGAUGUAAGAGAAUUAGAAGAUGAAACUAGCUGUUCCCUCAUCAUAGCUAGGAUGGUUAUGAAGAGGUUUGCCGAUAAAAAGUGGUGUGAUGGUCUCUAUAGGCAAAAGAUUUCGAAGGAUUGUUCCGCACUUAAGAAGAAGACCAAUGGGGAGCAGAAUGAAAUCAGUCGUGAAGACCAUAUAGAGAUCAAGACUAUGGAAAAAAUCUCAGAGCUCACAUUAAGUCAGUUUGCACUUUACCACAUCUCGGAGCAGACAAGACUGGCGGCGUGCAGGUUGCGACUGCCUGAAGGUCCCGAGGGUGAGCCCUCGCCCCAACAGGUACCGCCGUCCAUGCUGCCAACCAGAGAUGAUAGGCGAGUGUGGACACGAAUUGGAAACACCUCACACCAGCACAAGGUGACGCAAGAAAACAGAACAGAGGUUUCAAUAUGGCUUAAAGGAAACAAUUCUGAAGAAGAAGAAUGUGCCGCGAGUGAAGCAAAUGAGAGCCCCAAACCAGUUCAACAAGUUCCAUCCUUGAGGACAAGGAUGAUUUUAAGGGGAGGGGAUUGUAACGACCCUGGAGAAUAAAUGGUAGAGGUAGCAGUAGCAGUAGUAAUAGUUAGCAUGGGAGAAUAGUAAAAAUAGCAACUUUACUAGUUAAAAUGGAGAAUAAAAGUGGCAGCAGCAGAAUGGUGAAGGAGCGAGCUCAGUGGGGUGAACCGGCGGCAAGGGCGUUCAGGCGGAACUCAGGCGGGCGACGAGGAAGGGUGGCGCUGCGGCCGCGGCAGCCUUCCCAGCGACUGUCUCCCUCAAGAAAGCGAAGGCGCCGGCCGCGCUCUGGAACCCGCCGCAGGCCUGCUUGAGCCUUGCGGCGAUGGUGCGAUCGGCGGCGUGGGCGAUCUGCGAGUAGACGGCGGCAGUGGGGGAAAUGGGAGGAACGCGAAGGGAGAAGGAGGUCCGACAGCAUCUACGGUUGGGGAAGAUGGAAGCCUUGCGGGUCGGAUGGGCAGAUUUCCGGAUCGGAGGCAAAACGCGAACCCAAGACCCGCCGGCAAUGGAUAGUGCGGAGAAGGCGAACCCGCAACCCGCUUGCCCGUUUACCAGACAACUUCGGACCGAACAAGCCCAGCGGAGGCCCAGCCUGCGAGUGAAUCGCGGCCCAGCCUGCUCUCACCCAGUUUACAUAUUGCUGUUUAGCCCUUAUAGGAUAGUUUACUUUAAUUUCAAUACCAGUUGUAGAGGAAUAUAUCUAACAGAAUGUCAUGAGAAGAUCAUAAAUGAAAAUGAAAUAGUCUAUUUCUCCCCCAAAGGUUCUUCUCCAAACCCUUCUUCUUCUCUAUCCCUUAUCUCUAUCCCAACUCUUUUCCCUAACCCUCACCUCUCAAUCCUCAUCUGUCUAUCUCUCUACCUCUAUUUCUCUUCUCUCUAUCUCAAUCCCAAUUUCUAUCUCUAUUUUCUUACCUCUCUAGCCUCGGUUACCGACUACGUUACCUCCGAUACGCGACCGGAAGGACCAAGAACCUGAUCCGAGCCAUAAGGGAUAUUACAAUUGGUAUCAGAGCGGCACUGUCCCAGGGCCGUGGGCGGCGGGAAUUCAACAGGAGCAAGAACGUUGGAGUUUCAGCAGCUGUGAGGAAUUACGUCGAACAAUGGAGGCGCAACAGGUAACAUCAUCCAAUUAGCAUAAUUAAGCAACAGAAGGCUCACACGAGGGUGUACGGAGGUAGUAGCAAGGACUAGUGCUGGUUCUAUUGCAAUUAGAACAGCACCAGGCCUCAGGCAAGCAUCUUUGGCACCUCGGCCGAAUUACUGUAGCAGGUGUUAAUUCCAGAUCAAACAAGAGUGAAGCAAUCAGUAGCGUCCAGGGGCAACAAUUGCAAAAAAGAGCGAAAACCGAUUCAAAUUCGAAACCAAGAGAAGUGAGAUCCCAGGGAUCGGUGCUGCGACAGUCGCGUGAUUCCGAUUCUUAGAAUUGUAGAGUCAAUUGCGACAUAGCUACCUGCGCUGCGAGAAUCGGCUUCGGCUGGAUCUCGACAAAAGGGGCCGCAGCGGAAUCACACUGAUUCUGAGUUUUACACAGUUCUAGCAGAGCUAAUUUCUGCUCAAUUGUGAAGCUCCCACCUGGUACCUGCGAAUAAUUCUCAAGCAGGUAGAUCCCACAUUGUAUAGCUUAGCAAAAUUGGGUCAACAUGAGGCAACAGAUCUAAAUUCACUAGUAGCUUGUACAAGGCAAGAGAAGAAUUAGUUACUGUCCAGGGAUGGUAGGCAAAAUGGCUAUUGGAACAAAGUGGCAGCAACAAACUACUAGUUAUAACCAAAGCUUUGAAGGAACGUUGCACAUUGCUAGGGAUUUCAAUCAGAAUUUAGAUAUUUUGGCGCAAAGGAUUGAAACCCUGCGGAAGGAAGAGGCAAGGAGGUACGAAAUUAUGAUGGAGGAGGAGGCCCGCAGGCAUGAACAACUCCUAGAGUUGAUUAGAAGUCGAUUUGUACAUGCUAAAGGGAAAGGGACAGUAGUGCAAGUUCCGAUAGAAAAGAAACAUCGGCAACAGUACAUGCCAUACAUGGAGAUAAGUUUCCCAGAUUUUAACGGAACAGAUCCAAAAGGAUGGUUACGAAAUUGCGAGCAGUAUUUUGACCGAUACCAAGUUCCUGAGCAACAAUGGAUAGGCAUAGCGUCCAUGCACAUAGAGGGUGAUGCACGGUUUUGGAAGCAAGCAUAUUUCUUUAACCGACCAGAGGUAAAUUGGGGCGAGUUUUCCGAUGCCAUUUGUAAAAGAUUUACAGCGACGAAAGAGAGGUACCCAACCCAAGAGUCUAGUGCUUGCAAGCAAACCGGUUCUUACCAAGAGAAUUGUGAAGCCAUUAAGAUGCACAAAAGCAUGAUGCAGGAGGAUGGCCGCAAGCAUGAACAACUCCUAAAUUCACCCAGGAGCCGACCUAUGCAUGAUGAAAAAAAUGAGAUAAAAGUGCAAGGUACUGAAGAGGAGUUUGGCACAAUACCUGCAUGCAAGGCUGCAGAAAGGGGAAUUAGUUCACUAACUAGUUCGGAAAACAACUCUAAGACUGAAGUAAAAAAAUUGGAGCAAAAACAGUAUCAAAAUCUGAAGAUGAAAGUAUACACAAGGUGUGACGAGGAGCUGAGAAACAGAUUUGGCAAACCGGAGGAGUUGCCGAGGUUGCAUGCAACUCAACCAUCUCUUAGUAAGCUUAUUUCAGCUAUCGCAACACCCCACUCAGAGAACAAAGGCUCAAAGGAAAACAACUUCGAAGAAAACAUCAUUCCAUCCCCUAGAAGAGCAAACAAAGAUCAAUUUCAUCAUCAGCAUCAACAGCAUAAGCUCUGGAAGCGAUCUAUAAGGCGUGGAACCGAUCAUCAUUGUCGCCAUCCAGUUCUCAGAUCGAAUUCACCAUUGAAGGUUGCGACUCAGUUCGGGACCAAAUCGGGCCUAGAUCGACCCUUGGUAACACCUCAAUCAUCAUCGCAGCCAACCAAAUCUCCGAGAUUACAAUCGGCGAUGGAUGCUACUCAGAUUGGGUUAUUACAAGCUGGAAAAGCAAAGGCAGAAAAGCGAGAUAUUGAUAACUGCAAAAAUAAACCCCCUUGGAAGAAAAUUACUGCAGAGAGGUCACUAGGGGUGAGGAGCAGGGGCUUAACUGAUGAAAAGCCAGAGAAAGCUUAUCAAGCAAGAUCUGAGGACUUCAGGGCCCACAAGUUAAUCCAAAUCUCUAACCUGGCAGAAGCCAGCAUGGUGCGCAGCGUUGCGAAUGGAUAUAAGGAGCUUAGUUCUAUGCUUGGAAGGCCUCAUCCUUGUUCACUGGCUUUGGCUUAUGAACAAACCAAACAGAAAGAAUCCAAUAAAGAAUGGGAAAUUACACUACUUGCAGAAGGCAAAUGCAGGGCAAUUACCAUUUUUACACCAAAAUGGAAACAGGAAGUGCAGGAUGGUGAUGAGGCAGGCUCCCAAGUCAAGCAAGUUACCACAGAGCUAAUAGUGUAUGCAAUCUCUAAACCCAAUUGUAACACCAAGCCUACCAACACAGCUCCAAGGAUAAAUCUGAAGCUUAUCUCAAAGUAUUAUGGGCCACUGAAGGUAUUAGAGAGGAUGGACAUGCAGUACAAGGAGCUAGGGACUGUGCUUAAGAGGCCUCACCCAUGCUCGCGAUUUCUGGCCUAUGAACAAGACAAGCUACAGGAAUCUAAUAGAAACUUGGGUGUUACCUUGCACAUAAAAGGGGGAUGCAAAGCACUUACCAUGAAUAUGUGCAGAUGGAUGCAAGCUGUGCAAAAUAGAAGUGAAGAAGACCAUCUGCUAAUUGAAUUUCAUCCUUCUAGGGCGUGGCAAGUUGAUCAGGGUAUUGAACAGUUCACUCGAUGGUCAGGAAUUGAAAGGGAUAUGCAUCAGUUAGUGCAAGAUUGUGAAGUUUGCUUAAGAUCUAAGGAAGAAAAUAGGCCCAAACAUUGCUACAAGAAGCUGAAGCUUGAAGAAUGGUGGUCCUACACUAGAUUCUACAUCUCAUCAGGAAGGGGAAUUUUACAAGGUCCGGUGGCACGCGGGUUGUCACUGCCUGAAGGUCCCAAGGGUGAGCCCCCGCCCCAGCAGGAGCCGCCGUCCAUGUUGCCAACCCGAGAUGUUAGGAGAGUGUGGACACAGUUGGAAACACCUCACGCCGGCGCGAAGCAGGGCAAGAAAACAGAACAGAUAUUAGAAGAUGGCUUAAAAAGAAGCAAUUUUGAAAAAGAAGAAUGUGCCGCGAGUGAAGCAAAUGGGAGCCCCAAACCAGUUCAACAAAGUUCCAUCCUUGAGGACAAGGAUGAUUUUAAGGGGAGGGGAUUGUAACAACCCUGAAGAAUAAAGGGUAGAAGUCGUAGUAGUAUUAAUAGUUAGAUGUAGAAGAUGAGUAAAGGUAGCAGCUUUACUAGCUAGAAGAAGAAUAAGUGACAGCAGGGGGUGGUGAGGAGUGAGCUCGGCGGAGCGAUCCGACGGUAAGGCGCUCGAGCGGAACUCCGGCGGGAAGGCGCCUUCGAAGGGGCUCAGGCGAGCUCAACAGUGCUAGGGCAUCCUCAGAGCUCGGAGAGGGCGAUGGAAGGAUCGAGAACGGAGAGAAGGGGAGUCCGACAGAACAAUAGCGUUUGGGGCGAAGAAGAGAACUUGCGGGUCGAAGCUUCCGAGUCGCGGAUCGGAGGAAAAAUGCGAACCCAAGACCCGCCGGGUGGAGGGUAGUGCGGAGAAGGGCUAUCCGAUAUCCACUUACCCAUUAUUGGCGGAUCGGGCCAGCCACAUCGCGGAUCGGGCGGAAAAGGCGAGCCCAAGACCCGCUGGGCACUGGAUAGUGCGGAGAAGAAGAAACCGAGACCCACUUACCCGUUAGCUGGAGUUCCUGGACCAGGAGAGCCCAAGCGGAGGCCCAUCAACCGUCGAAUAGCAUCCAGCAAGCCACAUUCCCAUUUACCAUCAUAUUUGCUGUUAAGCCCUCACAUAGUUGUUAUUUUCAUUUCAGUACUAAUAUGCUAGGGAGUAUAAAUAGUGAAAUGUAAUGUAAUCGAGGCAUCAAUGAAAAUGAAAUAGUCUAUUUCUCCCCCAAAGGUUCUUCUCCAAACCCUUCUUCUUCUCUAUCCCUUAUCUCUAUCUCUAUCCUAACUCUUUUUCCUAACCCUCACCUCUCAAUCCUCAUCUGUCUAAUCUCUCUACCUCUAUUUCUCUUCUCUCUAUCUCAAUCCCAAUUUCUCUCUCUAUUUUCUUACCUCUCUAUCCUCGGUUACCGAUUGUGUUACCUCGGAUCCGCGACCAGAAGCACCGAGAACAGCAAUAUACAAGCCGGGAUAUUACAAAGUGUUGGGUUAAAUUCUGGAUUUUUGAUUUCAUUUCACAGAUUUUUUAUUUAAUCUAUUAGUAAAUAAACGAGACUAAACAAAAAAUGGCUAGU
RNAcentral lists this long non-coding RNA (10715 nucleotides) under Ananas comosus (pineapple). RNAcentral's name for it is "long non-coding RNA (ACOM_LNC025377)". The record is from RNAcentral. Lineage: Eukaryota; Viridiplantae; Streptophyta; Magnoliopsida; Poales; Bromeliaceae.